This 204-nucleotide long non-coding RNA is filed under the name Lathyrus oleraceus (garden pea). RNAcentral describes it as "Pisum sativum (pea) long non-coding RNA (PSAT_LNC012979)". Lineage: Eukaryota; Viridiplantae; Streptophyta; Magnoliopsida; Fabales; Fabaceae. The record is from RNAcentral.
AUAGAUGGACCUAUCUCAUCCAUACUUGUAUUGGUUCAUCUAAACAAAAGGUUAUUAAUAAACCAAUUAGCCUUAGGAUAUUGAGAUUUCAUUGGUCAAUGAAAGGGAUGAGAAAGAAUGGGAGUGAAGAUGAAGAGGUAGGGGAGAUGAGAGAAACACAAAUUGGUUAUGGGGAGAAUUUUAUCAAAUUAAAAUCAUUCAUUC